CCCGAUGAGGGCCACCCCGCCGCGGUAGUUGGGCCCGGUGAUGUCCCGCACCUCCCGGAAGGUGAAGCGGUAGUCGUGAAUGGUCACGCUGUCGCCCGCCCGCAUCCGCACGUCACGCUCCACGCUGUAAUUCUGGCUGAAGGCGAUGCCGGUAAUCGUCACCGCCAGCCCGAGGUGCGCCGCCACCAUUCCCCAGUAGCUGAGAGAGGUUUUCGUGCCGCGGGACACGCGCUGUACGGCUUCGGCCACCGCCAGCACCGCAAUCCAGCAGGCCAUCGCCAUCCCCACCGCCGUCAUGGCGAUGAUUUUAUCUUCCAGCAGCCACGGCAAAAGUACCGACAGCACCAGGGUAGUGACAACGGCAGCCCACAGCAGUUUCCUGAUGUUACGUGGCCGGUCCCGGCCCCAGCGCACCAGCGGCCCCACCCCCAGCAGCAGGGCAAAGGGGACCAUCAGCCAGGUGAACAUGGUGUUAAAGAACGGCUCCCCCACCGAAAUGCUGCCCAGCCCCAGCUGUUUGUGCACCAGCGGCAGCAGGGUACCCAGCAGCACCACCAGCAUGGCGGCCAUCAGCAGGACGUUGUUGCCGAGCAGCAGCGACUCGCGCGACCACAGCGCGUUGUUCACCCGCGAACGCACCCUGUGCCCGCGCACGGCGAACAGCAGCAGCGAGCCGCCGGUGACCAGCACCAUAAAGGCGAGGAUAAACAUUCCGCGCGCCGGGUCGGAGGCGAAGGCGUGCACCGACACCAGCACCCCGGAGCGCACCAGGAAGGUGCCCAGCAGGCACAGCGAGAAGGCGCAGAUGGACAGCAGCAGCGUCCACGCCUUAAAGCCGGCGCGCUGUUCGGUGACCGCCAGCGAGUGCAGCAGGGCGGUGCCCGCCAGCCACGGCAUAAAGGAGGCGUUCUCCACCGGGUCCCAGAACCACCAGCCGCCCCAGCCCAGCUCGUAGUAGGCCCACGCCGAGCCGAGCACGAUGCCCAGCGUCAGGAACACCCACGCCGCCAGCGUCCACGGGCGGGCAAAACGGGUGAACGCGCUGUCCAGACGCCCGCUCAGCAGCGCGGCGAUGGCGAAGGCGAAGGCCACCGAGAAGCCGACAUAGCCCAUGUACAGCAGCGGCGGGUGGAAAAUCAGCCCCGGGUCCUGCAGCAGCGGGUUCAGGUCGCGCCCCUCCACCGGAAAGGCCGGCAGCGUGCGGGCGAACGGGCCGGAGGUGAACAGGAUGAACGCCAGAAAACCGGCGCAGACCAUCCCCAUCACCGCCAGCACCCGGGCGACGAUAUCCGCCGGCACCGGCCGGCUGAACACCGCCACCGCCAGGGUCCAGCCGCUCAUCAGCAGCACCCACAGCAGCAGCGAGCCCUCGUGCGCCCCCCAGGUGGCGGCCACCCGGUACCACACCGGCAGCUGCGUGUUCGAGUUGCCGGCGACAUAGGCCACGGUGAAGUCGUUAACCACAAAGGCGUGCACCAGCACGAAAAACGCGCCCGCCACGCAGAUGAACAGCAGCCAGGCGAACACCCCGGCCGACGCCAUCAUCCGCGCGUCGCCGCGCGCCACGCCCCACAGCGGGUAAACGGACAGCAGCAGCGCCACGCCGAGCGCCAGGCACAGCAGCGCGUGGCCGUAUUCAGGCAUCAUGAUGAGGUGUCCUUAUCAGCGCGUUGCGGGCGGCGGUGGUUUUCCUGCAUCGCCUUUUCCACUUCCGGCGGGGUGUAGUUCUCGUCAUGCUUGGCCAGCACCUCCUGCGCCAGGACGUGGCUGCCCUUCUCCAGGGUGCCCUGCACCACCACCCCCUGUCCCUCGCGGAACAGGUCCGGCAGUAUCCCCUCAUAGCUCACCGUCACCGACCCUUCGGCGUCGUAGAGGCUGAAGUUCACCUUCAGCGAGUCCGGAUCGCGCCUGACGCUGCCGGGCAUCACCAUCCCGCCGACGCGCAGGCGCUGGCCCACCGCCGGCAGCUGCUGCGUCUCGCGCUUGCCGUAGAGGAUUUCGCCGGGGGUAUAGAACAGGUCGAUAUUCGCGCGCAGCGCGUACAGGACCAGGGCGGUGGUCAGCGCCAGGCCCGCCAGCACCGCGCAGACCACCCAUAGCCGGUUUUUACGUCGCAGGUUCACGCGGCCUCCUGUUGCGCCUGUGCGGCACGCAUCCGCGCCUCGCGCGCCCGCUGCUGCGCCACGCCGCGCAGAAUGGCCCGGCGCUGCAGCACCGUGUGCAGCGCCAGCAGCACCAGCGGCGCCACGGUCAUCGCCACCGCCAGCCAGACAAAAAAGGCGUACCCGCCCAUGGCGAAAAAAUCGCUCCACGAUGAAAAUGCCGGACUCACCGGUGCCCCCUUUUCAGUAUCAGUUCGCUCACCCACGGGCGGCGUUUUUCCAUCAGUAAAAUCAGGUUGCGCAUCCGCAUCAGCGCCAGCGUCAUAAAGAGCAGCAGGAAGCCGGCGAUGGCCCAGCGCAGCGGCGAGCGCAUCGCCGGGUCGAUACUCUGCUGCAUCCGCGUCGAGCCCUGGUGCAGGGUGUUCCACCACUCGACGGAAUAGUGGAUAACCGGCAGGUUCACCACGCCGACCAGCACCAGAAUGCCCGCCGCGCGCCCGGCCAUUUUACGGUCGUCAAAGGCGUGCCACAGGGCGAUGACCCCGGCGUAGAGAAACAGCAGCACCAGCUCCGAGGUCAGGCGCGCGUCCCACACCCACCAGGUGCCCCACAUCGGUUUGCCCCACGCCGCGCCGGUGACCAGCGCGAUGAAGGUGUACACCGCCCCCACCGGCGCCAUCGCCGCGACGGCAAGGCUGGCCAUUUUCAUCUGCCAGACCAGCCCGGUGAACGCCGCCACCGCCAUCGCCGCAUAGAUACCCAUCGACCAGAUGGCCGCCGGGACAUGCAGGUACAUAAUGCGGUA
Molecule: ribosomal RNA, 2907 nt
Filed under: Salmonella sp. FORC89
Lineage: Bacteria; Pseudomonadati; Pseudomonadota; Gammaproteobacteria; Enterobacterales; Enterobacteriaceae
Description: 23S ribosomal RNA
Source: RNAcentral